Molecule: long non-coding RNA, 2668 nt
Organism: Panicum virgatum (switchgrass)
Lineage: Eukaryota; Viridiplantae; Streptophyta; Magnoliopsida; Poales; Poaceae
Exons: 5
Source: RefSeq, a predicted model, not a curated record
GGUUCGCGUCCUCCUCCCCCGCCAGCCCGCCGGUUCGCGUCCUCCUCCUCCACCCGGCAGCCGGCGCACGCGUCCUCCUCCACCCGCCAGCGCGCGUCAUCCUCCUCCGCCCGCCGCCGCCCGCAUGGCACCGAAGCGCCUGGCCGCGCCCGCCGCGGCGCCGUCGGGAUCCGCGUCCGAGGCCUCCAGAGCGGAGGCGGACGCGCCCCUGCACCACCCCUCCUCCCAGUCGCCGUCCAAGACGCCGCCGCCGCGGCCGCCUUGGUGGCGGAGGAGACCGCCGCGGCCGGAUCCGAUUCCCGGGCCCCCUACGACUCCGACGCCAACCACCGGCCCGCGCUCCGAAAAGCGGGCGCCGCGGCGUCGCCGUCGCCGUUGCGCAAUCCCAGGAGCCCCAGGCCGCGCUCGCGCUCGCGCUCCCGAACCCCGGACUUCGCCCUGCCGUCGGCGCGCGCGUCCCCCCUCCCCCUCCCGUUUUUCCUCGGGCCGGCGUUCCUUCACUUGCGUUGCCGCCGCUCCGCGCAAGCUCGCUUCUUCCCUGGCAUCCGCUCGGGCCGCCGAUCCGUCCCCAGCGUUGCCUUUCUCCGCUCCGGCUCGCGCCUUCCAUGGCGUCGCCUUCCGGCGCCCUCUCCGUCGUCGGGAGAUGGCAGCACCAGCAGCUCUGCGGCCUCAACAUCCAUGAGGCGCGGAGAUAUGCGACCAUCCUCGACUCCCCGCUCUCCAUCGCCUGCGCGACCUCGGCCAUGCUUCCCGCGGUGUCACGGGGGGAGGCGCCCGCGCGUGUGCGGCGGCACCGGCCGCAUCGCGCAGGGGUGUACGCCGCCUGUCGCGCGGAGCCUGCUGCCCUCCCCUACACCGCGGUGUCAUCCCAUCGCGUGAGAGCCCCUCCUCGCCAAACCCACCGCCUUCCCUUGCGCUGCUCAUCCUCAUGCUUCUGUGCCUCCGGGUCCGGGGAAGAAAUCUUGUUCUGGGUCCUCAUCGUGCACCUCGCGGCCGCGGGGUAGUCGCCACGGAGAGGAAGACGGCAGCAAAACCGGUCGCACGGAGGUCUGUGGUGCUCGCUCCCCAAGUCCGCCUCCUCAAUUGGCAUCCGCGUCUGCUCGAUCUGGAGCAUGUGCCGCUACUUAGUGGUUGUGCGAUUGAGAGGAGCAAAGCUGCUGGCCACUGCUUAGAUUAGAUUGCCCACGAGGGAGAUGGAUUGGGAGGAGCCGGUGCCAUGUUUGUUGCUUGGGUAGGAGCAGAUGAGGAUAGAAGAACAGAGACGAGGUGUCCUGAUGAUUAUAUUCUUUGAGUUGUUAUUUUCCCAUUUGGAGGACAAAAAAGAAAGAAGCCAACUACUGGGAUUACUUGCUUGGUGGAGGCAGAGGGAGAAGAGAAGCUGCUACUGUAUGUGUUUGCUUGACAAGGGCUGGCUUGCUAGAGAGAAUAAAAGGUCGGGAGCAUUUGUAGAUUCAGAAUAUGUCUACAAGUGCUAGCAUAUUCUUCAGAGAUUGUAUUGUUUUAUGAGUAAGUUCCAUUCAAGGAAUUGGCAUCAUAUUCAUAGGUUUUUUUUAACCCAAUUCAUGGUUGUGAGUCUGGGCAAUUUAUGGUUGUUUUUCAUCAAAUAUUUCUGUUAACUGAAAAUUUAGUGUAGUUGCUUCAUAUUCAGGAUUUGUUUUUGUCAAUCAAUUCACGGUUGUGAGUUUGGGCAAUAAUAAAAUUCUUUUUUCUUGGAAGCAUACUACAUUCCUUUUAGUAUGCUUUUUAGGCCUUGCCAUGGCUAUUCUGUGAUCCUCAUUGACCUGUUGUUGGACCAAUUUUAUAAAUUACCAUUGCGUAGUGCACUGUUUUCCAUGGUCUAGAUACAUGUCAUAUGCUCUUUGGUAUUGCUAUGUGCUGGCUGAGGGGGUUGUAUAUCUCACUGGAAUUGGGAUGAUUCUAAAAUUGCUAUGUACUUUUUAUGAUCAGAUGCAAAUAUGAAUAUUUAGAGAUAAGUAAAUUUUAUUGACAUCUCAGCCUAUCUAUUUACUUUUCUUCUUUUUUACAUUUGAUCAAGAAGUUCUAUCAUGCAUUACUAAUAAAACCAAGCUAUGGAAUGCAGGUAACAACUACUAUUUCAUUUUGUCAUCGAGCUCGACUGAUCGAGCAGUAGUUGUUUUUCAAAGGGACGUGCUCUUCUGCAUAAGAUCAACAUUUUGGGGGCGUCGUCAUCCGCGAGCUAUUUGAGAUGGUGGUCGCCGCCGGAGAGAAGAUGUGUUUCGGGGGCGUUGGCUCCAAGCUAAAGGGUGAUUUUAAGGACAUGGAGGACAUGAAGCACAUGGCUGUCUGCGAGACGCUUGGCGACUCCGACAAGAAGCUACAUUAUUUCUCAGGGCGGCAGAUUGGAGCAGAGGGGAUCCGUGCCAGAAGGUGACGUGAUGUCCAAUCUCUUUUACUGGUGGUUACCAACUGAUCCAACCGAAGACUGCACGAUAUGUUGCUGUCUACCGAGUGGGGAGUGUCGUUCUUGCCCACCCGAGAACUUUUAAGCCAAGCGGGUGCACAAUGUACUUCAUCAAUAGCAUAUGUACCUUUUUUUAUAUAGUUCCAAACUAUGAUCUUGAACUAGAAACUUUCGUGUGCUAUGUUUAUACAUGAUAUAUGUUUAUGCUUGUUUUUUGAAUGAGCAUCAAGCGACAUGUUGCUAAAA